GGGUACGAUCAUACCAGCACUAAUGCACCGGAUCCCAUCAGAACUCCACAGUUAAGCGUGCUUGGGCCAGAGUAGUACUAGCAUAGGUGACCUCCUGGGAGGUUCUCGUGUUGCACACC
RNAcentral lists this ribosomal RNA (119 nucleotides) under Gossypium hirsutum (cotton). The record is from RNAcentral. Lineage: Eukaryota; Viridiplantae; Streptophyta; Magnoliopsida; Malvales; Malvaceae.